GCGGCGGACGGUUUAGUAACGCGUGGGAACGUGCCCUUCACUACGGAAUAGUCCCGGGAAACUGGGUUUAAUACCGUAUACGCCCUUCGGGGGAAAGAAUUUCGGUGAAGGAUCGGCCCGCGUUAGAUUAGAUAGUUGGUGGGGUAACGGCCUACCAAGUCUACGAUCUAUAGCUGGUUUUAGAGGAUGAUCAGCAACACUGGGACUGAGACACGGCCC
This 219-nucleotide ribosomal RNA is filed under the name uncultured Phaeocystis. RNAcentral describes it as "partial Bacterial small subunit ribosomal RNA". It matches the Rfam family "Bacterial small subunit ribosomal RNA", at positions 95 to 332 of the family's 1533-position model. The record is from RNAcentral. Lineage: Eukaryota; Haptophyta; Phaeocystales; Phaeocystaceae.